RNAcentral lists this ribosomal RNA (366 nucleotides) under uncultured soil bacterium. RNAcentral describes it as "bacterial SSU rRNA". It matches the Rfam family "Bacterial small subunit ribosomal RNA", at positions 26 to 391 of the family's 1533-position model. The record is from RNAcentral.
AGAUUGAACGCUGGCGGCAUGCCUUACACAUGCAAGUCGAACGGCAGCACGGGAGCAAUCCUGGUGGCGAGUGGCGAACGGGUGAGUAAUACAUCGGAACGUGCCCAAUCGUGGGGGAUAACGCAGCGAAAGCUGUGCUAAUACCGCAUAAGAUCUACGGAUGAAAGCAGGGGAUCGCAAGACCUUGCGCGAAUGGAGCGGCCGAUGGCAGAUUAGGUAGUUGGUGAGGUAAAGGCUCACCAAGCCUUCGAUCUGUAGCUGGUCUGAGAGGACGACCAGCCACACUGGGACUGAGACACGGCCCAGACUCCUACGGGAGGCAGCAGUGGGGAAUUUUGGACAAGUGGGACGAAAGCCUAGAUCCAG